AGAGCGAGAAGAGGUCUACUGGAACUCCGAGUGUCCGCUCUGACUCAAGCUGGAAUAGUCAGAGCAUAUUACUUCAGAACAAAUUGGUUAAUAGCUGCAACAGUUCCUUGCAGGAGAAGAAACACAAUAGUGAUCACAUUCCAAAGGUGAACAAUAGUAAGAAGAGUUUUAUCUCAAACCUAAGGUGUAAAUGCGUGUGUACUGAUGAGAACUCAGUCGAUGUCGAUGAUAAGAUCUCAGUUAAGAUUCAGAAGCAAGAAGAGUUGGUGCAGAGGAAGGCUCCUGAAGUGUUUGGUUCUCCUCUACACAUUGAGAAGAGGGUUUUUGUUCAGAAGAAGCUCACAUUACCUCCAUGGGAAUCAAGAAUAGAGGAAGAAGACACAAAGAGUGAUUCCAGCUCGGAUCUUUUCGAGAUAGAAAAUCUUACAGGGAAACCAAAACCUAUUCUUGGAAGGCAAGGAAGCGAUCCGGCUUCACCUACAUGUUAUGCUCCAAGUGAAGUUAGCAUAGAGUGGAGCAUAGUGACAGCAAGUGCAGCAGAUUUCUCUGUUAUGUCAGAAUGUGCAACAAGCCCUGUAAGAAGAAACCGAUCUUCACAGAUUCCUCAGAUCCCUACUAAUACUUACAUCGAUAAAAACGCACCGCAGAGGCAGAAAUCAAGUAGCAGCGGAAAGGGUGGUUUCUUGAGCUGCAAGAGUCAUAAAUCUGUUAUGGUUUCUAGUGAUUCAGACAGAAGAAGUAGCAUGAACAAGACAUCCAUGAGUUAUGUCCCGAGGUUCCCAAUGGAGACUACUAAAC
Molecule: long non-coding RNA, 798 nt
Filed under: Brassica rapa (field mustard)
Lineage: Eukaryota; Viridiplantae; Streptophyta; Magnoliopsida; Brassicales; Brassicaceae
Description: long non-coding RNA (BRAP_LNC004687)
Source: RNAcentral